RNAcentral lists this ribosomal RNA (1444 nucleotides) under Lactiplantibacillus plantarum. RNAcentral describes it as "bacterial SSU rRNA". It matches the Rfam family "Bacterial small subunit ribosomal RNA". The record is from RNAcentral. Lineage: Bacteria; Bacillati; Bacillota; Bacilli; Lactobacillales; Lactobacillaceae.
CUAUACAUGCAGUCGACGAACUCUGGUAUUGAUUGGUGCUUGCAUCAUGAUUUACAUUUGAGUGAGUGGCGAACUGGUGAGUAACACGUGGGAAACCUGCCCAGAAGCGGGGGAUAACACCUGGAAACAGAUGCUAAUACCGCAUAACAACUUGGACCGCAUGGUCCGAGUUUGAAAGAUGGCUUCGGCUAUCACUUUUGGAUGGUCCCGCGGCGUAUUAGCUAGAUGGUGGGGUAACGGCUCACCAUGGCAAUGAUACGUAGCCGACCUGAGAGGGUAAUCGGCCACAUUGGGACUGAGACACGGCCCAAACUCCUACGGGAGGCAGCAGUAGGGAAUCUUCCACAAUGGACGAAAGUCUGAUGGAGCAACGCCGCGUGAGUGAAGAAGGGUUUCGGCUCGUAAAACUCUGUUGUUAAAGAAGAACAUAUCUGAGAGUAACUGUUCAGGUAUUGACGGUAUUUAACCAGAAAGCCACGGCUAACUACGUGCCAGCAGCCGCGGUAAUACGUAGGUGGCAAGCGUUGUCCGGAUUUAUUGGGCGUAAAGCGAGCGCAGGCGGUUUUUUAAGUCUGAUGUGAAAGCCUUCGGCUCAACCGAAGAAGUGCAUCGGAAACUGGGAAACUUGAGUGCAGAAGAGGACAGUGGAACUCCAUGUGUAGCGGUGAAAUGCGUAGAUAUAUGGAAGAACACCAGUGGCGAAGGCGGCUGUCUGGUCUGUAACUGACGCUGAGGCUCGAAAGUAUGGGUAGCAAACAGGAUUAGAUACCCUGGUAGUCCAUACCGUAAACGAUGAAUGCUAAGUGUUGGAGGGUUUCCGCCCUUCAGUGCUGCAGCUAACGCAUUAAGCAUUCCGCCUGGGGAGUACGGCCGCAAGGCUGAAACUCAAAGGAAUUGACGGGGGCCCGCACAAGCGGUGGAGCAUGUGGUUUAAUUCGAAGCUACGCGAAGAACCUUACCAGGUCUUGACAUACUAUGCAAAUCUAAGAGAUUAGACGUUCCCUUCGGGGACAUGGAUACAGGUGGUGCAUGGUUGUCGUCAGCUCGUGUCGUGAGAUGUUGGGUUAAGUCCCGCAACGAGCGCAACCCUUAUUAUCAGUUGCCAGCAUUAAGUUGGGCACUCUGGUGAGACUGCCGGUGACAAACCGGAGGAAGGUGGGGAUGACGUCAAAUCAUCAUGCCCCUUAUGACCUGGGCUACACACGUGCUACAAUGGAUGGUACAACGAGUUGCGAACUCGCGAGAGUAAGCUAAUCUCUUAAAGCCAUUCUCAGUUCGGAUUGUAGGCUGCAACUCGCCUACAUGAAGUCGGAAUCGCUAGUAAUCGCGGAUCAGCAUGCCGCGGUGAAUACGUUCCCGGGCCUUGUACACACCGCCCGUCACACCAUGAGAGUUUGUAACACCCAAAGUCGGUGGGGUAACCUUUUAGGAACCAGCCGCCUAA